GGCGAACGCUGGCGGCGUGCUUAACACAUGCAAGUCGAACGGAAAGGCCCAGCUUGCUGGGUGCUCGAGUGGCGAACGGGUGAGUAACACGUGGGUGAUCUGCCCCUAACUUCGGGAUAAGCUUGGGAAACUGGGUCUAAUACCGGAUAGGACAAUCGUUUAGUGUCGGUUGUGGAAAGUUUUUUCGGUUAGGGAUGAGCCCGCGGCCUAUCAGCUUGUUGGUGGGGUAAUGGCCUACCAAGGCGUCGACGGGUAGCCGGCCUGAGAGGGUGGACGGCCACAUUGGGACUGAGAUACGGCCCAGACUCCUACGGGAGGCAGCAGUGGGGAAUAUUGCACAAUGGGCGCAAGCCUGAUGCAGCGACGCCGCGUGGGGGAUGACGGCCUUCGGGUUGUAAACCUCUUUCGACAGGGACGAAGCUUUGGUGACGGUACCUGUAUAAGAAGCACCGGCUAACUACGU
RNAcentral lists this ribosomal RNA (463 nucleotides) under uncultured bacterium. Its description in RNAcentral is "partial 16S ribosomal RNA". It matches the Rfam family "Bacterial small subunit ribosomal RNA", at positions 28 to 506 of the family's 1533-position model. The record is from RNAcentral.